GUGGGGAAUAUUGGACAAUGGGCGCAAGCCUGAUCCAGCCAUGCCGCGUGUGUGAAGAAGGCCUUCGGGUUGUAAAGCACUUUUGUCCGGGAAGAAAUCUUCCAGGUUAAUACCCUGGGAGGCUGACGGUACCGGAAGAAUAAGCACCGGCUAACUUCGUGUCAGCAGCCGCGGUAAUACGAAGGGUGCAAGCGUUACUCGGAAUUACUGGGCGUAAAGCGUGCGUAGGUGGUUCGUUAAGUCUGCCGUGAAAGCCCCGGGCUCAACCUGGGAAUGGCGGUGGAUACUGGCGGGCUAGAGUGCGGUAGAGGGUGGUGGAAUUCCCGGUGUAGCAGUGAAAUGCGUAGAGAUCGGGAGGAACAUCUGUGGCGAAGGCGGCCACCUGGACCAGCACUGACACUGAGGCACGAAAGCGUGGGGAGCAAACAGGAUUAGAAACCCCAGUAGUCC
RNAcentral lists this ribosomal RNA (450 nucleotides) under uncultured bacterium. RNAcentral describes it as "partial 16S ribosomal RNA". It matches the Rfam family "Bacterial small subunit ribosomal RNA", at positions 354 to 796 of the family's 1533-position model. The record is from RNAcentral.